RNAcentral lists this ribosomal RNA (1273 nucleotides) under human gut metagenome. Its description in RNAcentral is "bacterial LSU rRNA". It matches the Rfam family "Bacterial large subunit ribosomal RNA", at positions 1636 to 2925 of the family's 2925-position model. The record is from RNAcentral.
AGGUGCCCGUACCGCAAACCGACACAGGUAGGUAGGAAGAAGAUUCUAAGGCCAACGGGAGAAGGGUUGUUAAGGAACUCGGCAAAUUGACCCCGUAACUUCGGGAGAAGGGGUGCUCCAGAGAUGGAGCCGCAGAGAAUCGGCCCAAGCAACUGUUUACCAAAAACACAGGUUUGUGCUAAAUCGAAAGAUGACGUAUACGAGCUGACGCCUGCCCGGUGCUGGAAGGUUAAGAGGAGAUGUGCAAGCAUUGAAUCGAAGCCCCAGUGAACGGCGGCCGUAACUAUAACGGUCCUAAGGUAGCGAAAUUCCUUGUCAGGUAAGUUCUGACCCGCAUGAAAGGCGUAAUGAUUUGGGCACUGUCUCAACAGCCCGCCCGGCGAAAUUGUAGUACCGGUGAAGAUGCCGGUUACCCGCGACAAGACGGAAAGACCCCAUGGAGCUUUACUGUAGCCUAAUAUUGGGUUUCGAUGUUGCAUGCACAGGAUAGAUGGGACACUGGGAAACAAUCGCUUUGGCGGUUGCGGAGUGGCCGUUGGGAUACCAUCCUUGCGAUAUUGGAAUUCUAACCUGCGGCUCUGAAUCGAGUCGGGGGACAUUGUUAGGUGGGCAGUUUGACUGGGGCGGUCGCCUCCUAAAAAGUAACGGAGGCGUUCAAAGGUUCGCUCAGCUUGAACGGAAAUCAAGCAAAAGAGUGCAAACGCAGAAGCGAGCCUAACUGCGAGACUGACGGGUCGAGCAGUAACGAAAGUUGGAGUUAGUGAUCCGGUGGUAUGUGAGUGGAAAUGCCAUCGCUCAACGGAUAAAAGUUACCCUGGGGAUAACAGGCUGAUCUCCCCCAAGAGUCCACAUCGACGGGGAGGUUUGGCACCUCGAUGUCGGCUCAUCGCAUCCUGGGGCUGUAUUCGGUCCCAAGGGUUUGGCUGUUCGCCAAUUAAAGCGGUACGCGAGCUGGGUUCAGAACGUCGUGAGACAGUUCGGUCCCUAUCUGUCGUGGGCGCAGGAUAUUUGAUGGGAGCUGUCCCUAGUACGAGAGGACCGGGACGGACGUACCUCUGGCGCACCAGUUGUUCCGCCAGGAGCAUAGCUGGGCAACUACGUACGGAUCGGAUAAACGCUGAAAGCAUCUAAGCGUGAAGCCGACCCAAAGAUAAGAUAUCCCACUGAUUUGAUCAGGUAAGACCCCUUGAAGACUACAAGGUCGAUAGGCACGAUGUGUAAGUGGAGCGAUCCAUUCAGCAAGCGUGUACUAAUAGGUCGAGGGCUUGACCAC